Molecule: ribosomal RNA, 253 nt
Filed under: uncultured bacterium
Lineage: Bacteria
Description: partial 16S ribosomal RNA
Rfam family: Bacterial small subunit ribosomal RNA
Source: RNAcentral
UACGUAGGGGGCGAGCGUUGUCCGGAAUUACUGGGCGUAAAGCGCGCGUAGGCGGUCUUUCGCGUAGGCGGUGAAAGCCCCCGGCUCACCCGGGGGAGGUCCGUCUAAACGGGGAGACUCGAGGGCGGUAGGGGCCGGUGGAACGCCCGGAGUAGCGGUGAAAUGCGUUGAGAUCGGGCAGAACACCAGUGGCGAAGGCGGCCGGCUGGGCCGUACCUGACGCUGAGGCGCGAAAGCCAGGGGAGCGAACGGA